This 355-nucleotide unclassified non-coding RNA is filed under the name soil metagenome. Its description in RNAcentral is "partial contains 5.8S ribosomal RNA, internal transcribed spacer 2, and large subunit ribosomal RNA". The stretch from base 1 to 120 matches the Rfam family "5.8S ribosomal RNA", at positions 35 to 154 of the family's 154-position model. The record is from RNAcentral.
GAUGAAGAACGUAGCGAAAUGCGAUAAGUAGUGUGAAUUGCAGAAUUCAGUGAAUCAUCGAAUCUUUGAACGCACAUUGCGCCUUCUAGUAUUCUGGGAGGCAUGCCUGUUUGAGCGUCAUUAAACCUCUCUCAAGUAUGAUUACUUGGAUGUGAAGGAAGAGUACCUUAAACUUAAGGAGUGUUCUCCUUUGAAAUUGAUUAGCAGAUGGUAAUGUUAUUAAAUCCCUGAUGUUGUAAGAAAUAACAGUGGUUUUGUAGACUAUUAUCUAGCUUUAAAUUAUAAUUUUUAUUAUGGUUGACCUCAAAUCAGGUAAGGAUACCCGCUGAACUUAAGCAUAUCAAUAAGCGGAAGA